AGGCUUUGAUCCUGGCUCAGAUUGAACGCUGGCGGAAUGCUUUACACAUGCAAGUCGAACGGCAGCACGGGUGCUUGCACCUGGUGGCGAGUGGCGAACGGGUGAGUAAUAUAUCGGAACGUACCCAGUAAUGGGGGAUAACUAGCCGAAAGGUUAGCUAAUACCGCAUACGCCCUGAGGGGGAAAGCGGGGGACCGUAAGGCCUCGCGUUAUUGGAGCGGCCGAUAUCUGAUUAGCUAGUUGGUGGGGUAAUGGCCUACCAAGGCGACGAUCAGUAGCUGGUCUGAGAGGGUGACCGGCCACACUGGGACUGAGACACGGCCCAGACUCCUACGGGAGGCAGCAGUGGGGAAUAUUGCACAAUGGGCGCAAGCCUGAUGCAGCAACGCCGCGUGAGGGACGACGGCCUUCGGGUUGUAAACCUACUUUUAGCAGGGAAGAAGCGAAAGUGACGGUACCUGCUAG
Molecule: ribosomal RNA, 465 nt
Filed under: uncultured beta proteobacterium
Lineage: Bacteria; Pseudomonadati; Pseudomonadota; Betaproteobacteria
Description: bacterial SSU rRNA
Rfam family: Bacterial small subunit ribosomal RNA
Source: RNAcentral